CAGAAGCUUAUUUUGGCUUAUGGUUGU
RNAcentral lists this non-coding RNA (27 nucleotides) under Mus musculus (house mouse). RNAcentral also lists the same sequence under 1 other name. Lineage: Eukaryota; Metazoa; Chordata; Mammalia; Rodentia; Muridae. The record is from RNAcentral.